CCUACGGGAGGCAGCAGUGGGGAAUCUUGCGCAAUGGGCGAAAGCCUGACGCAGCAACGCCGCGUGCGGGAAGAAGGCUUUCGGGCUGUAAACCGCUUUCAGCAGGAACGAAAAUGACGGUACCUGCAGAAGAAGGAGCGGCCAACUAUGUGCCAGCAGCCGCGGUGAUACAUAGGCUUCAAGCGUUGUCCGGAUUUAUUGGGCGUAAAGAGUUCGUAGGCGGUCGAGUAAGUCGGGUGUGAAAAUUCUGGGCUCAACCCAGAGACGCCACCCGAUACUGCUUGACUUGAGUUCGAUAGGGGAGUGGGGAAUUCCUAGUGUAGCGGUGAAAUGCGCAGAUAUUAGGAGGAACACCGGUGGCGAAGGCGCCACUCUGGAUCGAUACUGACGCUGAGGAACGAAAGCAUGGGUAGCAAACAGGAUUAGAUACCCUGGUAGUCCAUGCCGUAAACGGUGGGCACUAGGUGUGGGUUUCUAUUAACGAAAUCCGCGCCGUCGCUAACGCAUUAAGUGCCCCGCCUGGGGAGUACGGUCGCAAGCUAAAACUCAAAGGAAUUGACGG
RNAcentral lists this ribosomal RNA (562 nucleotides) under uncultured bacterium. Its description in RNAcentral is "bacterial SSU rRNA". It matches the Rfam family "Bacterial small subunit ribosomal RNA", at positions 338 to 916 of the family's 1533-position model. The record is from RNAcentral.